AAACUAACAAGGAUUCCCCUAGUAGCGGCGAGCGAAGCGGGAAGAGCUCAAAUUUAUAAUCUGGCACCUUCGGUGUCCGAGUUGUAAUCUCUAGAAGUGUUUUCCGCGUUGGACCGCACACAAGUCUGUUGGAAUACAGCGGCAUAGUGGUGAAACCCCCGUAUAUGGUGCGGACGC
Molecule: ribosomal RNA, 177 nt
Filed under: uncultured Rhodotorula
Lineage: Eukaryota; Fungi; Basidiomycota
Description: partial 26S ribosomal RNA
Rfam family: Eukaryotic large subunit ribosomal RNA
Source: RNAcentral